GGAUUUUCAAAAUCCCUUGUUCAUUUCCCAUUCUCAGCCCAUAAAAAAAACGAAAGUGCCAUGCCCAUAAAACUCUUAAUUUGCCAAAAAAAAAUUGUAGUUUUUUUUUCUCCCAUUCCUGGCCUAUUUUUUUUUUUUUAAAUAAUAAAAUCUAAUCUCCUCCUCUAUUAUUCUGUUUUGGGGAUCUAAUCGAACCCUAAAUUAGAUGGACGCAAGCUCUGAAGAUCGUCCCUAACACCUCCAUCACCACUUCCCCUCCGGGUCUGUCCCUAAGCAGUCAUCUCGAGGGAAAUUGAAGAGGUUGAUCAUAAGCAAGAGCUAAGCAUGGACGAAAGUAAUAAUCCAUGGAUUUGAACGUUACACGCAAUAGCUCUUACUCAAGAAAGAAAGGGAGCGUGACAUAACCUGAAGGUCUCAUUCUCAUUCUCUGUUAGUCGCAAUCCCAAUAGAUCUCAAUCGUCAGAUUGUUGAUCCAAAUCAAACUGGUGAGGUCAAAAGUGACUCAUAAGGAAGAUUGCAGUUAAUCUUCAGUCGAAGGUAAUAUUUGAUACUAAGUGAUGUUUGUCUGAGUUUAAUCGAUAUUAUCUGAUUUGUACUUGAAGCUGUUGUAAUGAUACUCCAUCUCGUGUUAUGUUUGUAGAAACUAGAUUCAAACUCUUGUUCGGUCGUACCUUGAUUUUAUUUGUGUAAGAUAUUAUUUCUAGUUUUUUUGUUUGUCACUUUGUUGUUGAUGUGGUUUAUGUGAAUAUCUGAUCAUUAAAGUUUUUAUCACAAUUGUACGUAUAAUUGGUGUUGGAGCUUGGGUAGUAUUGGUGUAAAAUGGACAAGGCAUGGGUUUGGCUUCCAAGGAAUAACCUUGAAUAUGAGAUGGAAGCAAGAAAAUUUGUAUUUGGAGCUGCAAGUAGGUUGGGUAAUCGUACAAUGAUGUUUUUUCCCUGCGUCAAUUGUAGAAUUGUUUGCCAUCAGCUGAUACAGACCGUAUUAGAUCAUCUAGUGAUCAGGGGUAUAGAUGAGAAAUACAAGAGGAAUCCAUUUUGGAGUAAGCAUGGGGAAAGGGGGGACAAAAAACGGCUGCUGAUGUUCCAAUUUCAGAGGAAGAGGCUUAUGACUUGAUGAGAACAGAUUUUUUGAGUGAGAAUUAAAUUAUGAAAAGGCAAAUGAGGAGUGUCAAAUUCCAGAAGAUUCUGAGUUUAGGGAGAAGUUAGAAGAUGCCAAAACUCCACUAUACUCAUCAUGUCACAAGUACAACAAGGUUUCUGCGAUAACAAUGCUAUAUACCACAUCAAAGUGAAGAGUGACUAGUGUUAAAGACAUGUUACCAGAAGAUAAUGUGCUUCCAAAGUCCACUGCCGAAAUGAAAAAUUCUUGAAGAUCUUUGGGUUUAGUUACGAUGUCAUUCACGCAUGCAAGAACGAUUGCAUACUUUAUUGAAAGCAGUAUGAUCAGAUAGAAAGUUGCCCAAGAUGUAGUGCUUCAAGAUGGAAAAUGGAUAAACACUAUGGUAAGGAAAUGAAGGGGAUUCCAGGGAAAGUGGUUAGGUAUUUUCCAAUCAAGGAUAGAUUGAAGAGUAUAUUUAGAUCAAAACAAAUGGCUGAGGAUUUGAGUUGGCAUUUCAGCAAUAGUAGUGAAGAUGAUUUAAUGCGACAUCUUGUGGACUCCAUGACCUUGGAACAAGUGAAUAUUAAUUGGCCAGAAUUUUCUGCUUACCCUAAAAACCUCCGACUUGGUCUUUCUACAGAUGGAGUGAACCCUUUCUCUUUGCAAACACAAAUUACAGUACAUGGCUAGUUUUGUUAGUUAACUACAACAUGACUGCUACCAUCUGUGUGAAGGCCAAGAACAUCAUGUUGACUAUGUUGAUCCCUGGUCCAACUGCACCAAGUAACAACAUUGAUGUAUAUCUAUUACUGUUGAUAGAGGAUUUAAGUGAUUUAUGGACCAAAGGUAUUGAAGUUUUUGACUCUUUUAUCAAAGAAAAGUUUACACUUAGAGCUUUGUUAUUGUAGAGUAUCAAUGACUAUCCAGCCUUAUGAACAUUGGUUGGGUGUAAGGUUAAGGGGAAAUAAACUUGUAUCGUUCGUGGAAAGGACACACAAGGUAGGUGGUUGAAGCAUAUUAGCAAGUAUGUGUAUUUGGGCAAUAGGAAACGAUUAAGGCAUGGACAUCCGUACAAGCAUAAAGGAUGGUUUGAUAACAUUGUCGGGAACAUGGCAGCAAAUAAAAUUCAAACUGGUGAGAUUGCUGAGAUAAGUAAAAUGAUGGAGAUGAUGAAGAAUCUGACAAACCAAAUAAUGGAGUUGAUGGAGAAUCUGAGAACCAAAUGAUGGAGUUGAAGGAGAUUCUAAGAAAGAGAAGAAUGAAGUUGAUGUACCACUUGGUCCAGAAGACGCAAAAGGUGAACAAUCUUACAAGCCUACUGAAGGAGGAGGUUCACACCCGAGAACUGAAGAAGUACAACUCGAGUAGUCGACCUCUACCACCAAAAGAAAAAGGGGACACACGAAGAUGCGCAAGGUCGCUAAAGAACCUCUAGCCAAGGUUGAGGUAGAAUUUACAUCUCUGGGUGAACAAGCAAGAUCUUGAUCAAUGACACUUUCAGCGUUUCUUGGUCCUCUUGUGAGGGAACAUGUUUCAGUAACACUCCCUGAUUGGAGAAAACUUGAUGAGCAGAGAAAAGAUGCAAUGUGGGAAGAAAUUCAUGUAUAAGAUUUUAUUUACUACUCGACAUUAAAAAUUAUGAAUGUCAUAUAACAUAUUGUCUCUUAUAGGGGAGGUUUAAUUUGCAAGAAUAGUGGCAAAAAGAUGUUGGUUUCAAGAAGAUGGGUUGUUUGUGGAGAGCACGAAGUCACGCGCAACUUUUAAUCUAUUACUGAGUGGAACAAUUGGGUGAAGAGCAAGUGGAGCUUAAGGUGAGAAGUGAGAGAUAUAAGAACUUGAGAAGAGCUCAGAUUCCACACACAACUAGCCGCAGAGAGAUAUUUCGCCUGGCACCAGAUUUGAAAAAAAAGAGUUCAAACCGUAGUACGGUGACUGGAAGUAAGAUAUGGCUAGCAGGACACACUCACAAAGAUGGAAGACCAGUGAAGCCGAAAUUUGCUAAGACUAUUGAACAAAUACAGUCAAUCGAUAGUCAAAUGGACUCCACAGCCAAUGAUAACAUAAUAGAAGAUGUUUUUAGUCAAAUGUUAGGGAAAGACAGACCUGGCAGAGUUAGAGAUUUGAGUAGAGGGAUUACUGCUACCAAAUUAGCAUUCCUCCAGUCUAGAGACACACAUGUGCAAAAGCUGGAAGCGUCACAAGCCGAUUUGAUUAGUCAGAUUAAAGAACUGAAAAAUGUUAUCAAAAUUUUAUAGCUGGAAAGUAAACCUGUUCUAAUAUGGGAGCUCAAACUGAAGCAAGUGAUGUUAGUCAAGGAGUUAGAUGUUAGCUGCUUGAAUGGUUUUUAGGAGAAGAUGUCGUUGUCAGGGAAGGUCUGUUUCAAUGACCCAAUAAGUCCAAAUACUUUUGAUUCCAAGGCCAACAGAAGAAACACUUUUGAUGGUUGAUGCACUCGAGGUACAAAUCGCAUGGCCAAUGGAUAAGAUAGAAGUCAUCAAUCAGAAUGCAGGCUAGUCUUCAGUGAAAAGAUCACCUCGGGUAAGUUUUGAUGUUGAUAUGAUGUGUAUCAAUUUUGUUUUGAUGUUGUGGUGAUGAAUUUCUGAUUACUAUGUCUAUUGCAUAUUGAUGAUGUGGCAAUGUACAAGUACUAACUUUGAUACCAUUAAUUGAGUCAAGAAGUGCACCCUUUUGAAUUGCAAAAACUCUGGUGAAAUUGUUGUA
Non-coding RNA from Camelina sativa (false flax), 3819 nucleotides. Lineage: Eukaryota; Viridiplantae; Streptophyta; Magnoliopsida; Brassicales; Brassicaceae. The record is from RefSeq and is a predicted model, not a curated record.